UAAUACAGAGGGUGCGAACGUUGCUCGGAAUUACUGGGCGUAAAGCGCGUGUAGGCGGAUGGGUAAGUCAGAUGUGAAAUCCCCGAGCUCAACUCGGGAACUGCAUUUGAAACUGCUCGUCUUGAGUACCGGAGAGGGUGGCGGAAUUCCUGGUGUAGAGGUGAAAUUCGUAGAUAUCAGGAGGAACACCGGUGGCGAAGGCGGCCACCUGGACGGUUACUGACGCUGAGACGCGAAAGCGUGGGGAGCAAACAGG
This 256-nucleotide ribosomal RNA is filed under the name uncultured bacterium. Its description in RNAcentral is "partial 16S ribosomal RNA". It matches the Rfam family "Bacterial small subunit ribosomal RNA", at positions 521 to 776 of the family's 1533-position model. The record is from RNAcentral.